Molecule: transfer RNA, 71 nt
Filed under: Gemmatimonadota bacterium
Lineage: Bacteria; Pseudomonadati; Gemmatimonadota
Description: Gemmatimonadetes bacterium (marine metagenome) tRNA-Thr
Rfam family: tRNA
About the family: Transfer RNA (tRNA) molecules are approximately 80 nucleotides in length. Their secondary structure includes four short double-helical elements and three loops (D, anti-codon, and T loops). Further hydrogen bonds mediate the characteristic L-shaped molecular structure. tRNAs have two regions of fundamental functional importance: the anti-codon, which is responsible for specific mRNA codon recognition, and the 3' end, to which the tRNAs corresponding amino acid is attached (by aminoacyl-tRNA synthetases). tRNAs cope with the degeneracy of the genetic code in two manners: having more than one tRNA (with a specific anti-codon) for a particular amino acid; and 'wobble' base-pairing, i.e. permitting non-standard base-pairing at the 3rd anti-codon position.
Source: RNAcentral
CUCCGAUAGCUCAGUGGUAGAGCGCCUCCUUGGUAAGGAGGAGGUCCCGGGUUCAAAUCCCGGUCGGAGCU